AUUGAACGCUGGCGGCAGGCCUAACACAUGCAAGUCGAACGGUAACAGGAAGAAGCUUGCUUCUUUGCUGACGAGUGGCGGACGGGUGAGUAAUGUCUGGGAAACUGCCUGAUGGAGGGGGAUAACUACUGGAAACGGUAGCUAAUACCGCAUAACGUCGCAAGACCAAAGAGGGGGACCUUCGGGCCUCUUGCCAUCGGAUGUGCCCAGAUGGGAUUAGCUAGUAGGUGGGGUAACGGCUCACCUAGGCGACGAGCCCUAGCUGGUCUGAGAGGAUGACCAGCCACACUGGAACUGAGACACGGUCCAGACUCCUCCGGGAGGCAGCAGUGGGGAAUAUUGCACAAUGGGCGCAAGCCUGAUGCAGCCAUGCCGCGUGUAUGAAGAAGGCCUUCGGGUUGUAAAGUACUUUCAGCGGGGAGGAAGGGAGUAAAGUUAAUACCUUGGCUCAUUGACGUUACCCGCAGAAGAAGCACCGGCUAACUCCGUG
Molecule: ribosomal RNA, 490 nt
Filed under: uncultured bacterium
Lineage: Bacteria
Description: partial 16S ribosomal RNA
Rfam family: Bacterial small subunit ribosomal RNA
Source: RNAcentral